RNAcentral lists this ribosomal RNA (358 nucleotides) under uncultured bacterium. RNAcentral describes it as "bacterial SSU rRNA". It matches the Rfam family "Bacterial small subunit ribosomal RNA", at positions 8 to 353 of the family's 1533-position model. The record is from RNAcentral.
AGAGUUUGAUCCUGGCUCAGGAUGAACGCUAGCUACAGGCUUAACACAUGCAAGUCGAGGGGGAAACGACAUCGAAAGCUUGCUUUUGAUGGGCGUCGACCGGCGCACGGGUGAGUAACGCGUAUCCAACCUGCCCACCACUUGGGGAUAACCUUGCGAAAGUAAGACUAAUACCCAAUGAUAUCUCUAGAAGACAUCUGAAAGAGAUUAAAAGAUUUAUCGGUGAUGGAUGGGGAUGCGUCUGAUUAGCUUGUUGGCGGGGUAACGGCCCACCAAGGCAACGAUCAGUAGGGGUUCUGAGAGGAAGGUCCCCCACAUUGGAACUGAGACACGGUCCAAACUCCUACGGGAGGCAGAA